CGGGGGGAGCAAGCGUUGUUCGGAUUUACUGGGCGUAAAGGGCGCGUAGGCGGCCACCGCAAGUCGACUGUGAAAUCUCCGGGCUUAACCCGGAACGGUCAGCCGAUACUGCGGGGCUAGAGUGCAGAAGGGGCAACUGGAAUUCUCGGUGUAGCGGUGAAAUGCGUAGAUAUCGAGAGGAACGCCUGCGGCGAAGGCGGGUUGCUGGGCUGACACUGACGCUGAUGCGCGAAAGCUAGGGGAGCGAACGGGAUUAGAUACCCCGGUAGUCCUAGCCUUAAACGAUGAAUGCUUGGUGUCUGGGGUUCUAUAGUCCCCGGGUGCCGUCGCUAACGCUUUAAGCAUUCCGCCUGGGGAGUACGGUCGCAAGACUG
This 374-nucleotide ribosomal RNA is filed under the name uncultured organism. RNAcentral describes it as "bacterial SSU rRNA". It matches the Rfam family "Bacterial small subunit ribosomal RNA", at positions 526 to 896 of the family's 1533-position model. The record is from RNAcentral.